GACGAACGCUGGCGGCGUGCUUAACACAUGCAAGUCGAACGAAGAGCGAUGGAAGCUUGCUUCUAUCAAUCUUAGUGGCGAACGGGUGAGUAACGCGUAAUCAACCUGCCCUUCAGAGGGGGACAACAGUUGGAAACGACUGCUAAUACCGCAUACGAUCUAAUCUCGGCAUCGAGGAUGGAUGAAAGGUGGCCUCUAUUUAUAAGCUAUCACUGAAGGAGGGGAUUGCGUCUGAUUAGCUAGUUGGAGGGGUAACGGCCCACCAAGGCGAUGAUCAGUAGCCGGUCUGAGAGGAUGAACGGCCACAUUGGGACUGAGACACGGCCCAGACUCCUACGGGAGGCAGCAGUGGGGAAUCUUCCGCAAUGGACGAAAGUCUGACGGAGCAACGCCGCGUGAGUGAUGACGGCCUUCGGGUUGUAAAGCUCUGUUAAUCGGGACGAAAGGCCUUCUUGCGAAUAGUUAGAA
RNAcentral lists this ribosomal RNA (468 nucleotides) under Veillonella dispar. RNAcentral's name for it is "bacterial SSU rRNA". It matches the Rfam family "Bacterial small subunit ribosomal RNA", at positions 28 to 472 of the family's 1533-position model. Lineage: Bacteria; Bacillati; Bacillota; Negativicutes; Veillonellales; Veillonellaceae. The record is from RNAcentral.